This 324-nucleotide RNase P RNA is filed under the name Flavobacterium sp. Its description in RNAcentral is "RNase P RNA component class A". It matches the Rfam family "Bacterial RNase P class A". Rfam says of the family: Ribonuclease P (RNase P) is a ubiquitous endoribonuclease, found in archaea, bacteria and eukarya as well as chloroplasts and mitochondria. The record is from RNAcentral. Lineage: Bacteria; Pseudomonadati; Bacteroidota; Flavobacteriia; Flavobacteriales; Flavobacteriaceae.
CCCGCAGACCGCCUUAUCGCUCCAAGCAAUUGGGGAGGAAAGUCCGGACACCACAGAGUAGCAUAGCGGGUAACGCCCGUCCGUUGAAAAACGAGGACAAGUGCAACAGAAAGUAUGUACAGGUAAGGCUGUAGUGAAACCAGGUAAACUCUAUGCGGUGAAAUUCCAAGUAUAUCGGCUCCCGAUGUUUCGGGAUAAAAAGGGCUACUCGUCCGUUGUCGAAGGGUAGGAAGCUAGAACGCGUUGGCAACAACGAGUCCAGAUAAAUGAUAAGGGUCCCGAUUUAUCGGGAUACAGAAUCCGGCUUACAGGUCUGCUUUUUUU